ACUCCUACGGGAGGCAGCAGUGAGGAAUAUUGGUCAAUGGGCGCAAGCCUGAACCAGCCAUGCCGCGUGCAGGAAGACUGCCUUAUGGGUUGUAAACUGCUUUUAUAUGGGAAGAAAACCCCUCUACGUGUAGAGCUUGGUACGGUACCAUAAGAAUAAGCACCGGCUAACUCCGUGCCAGCAGCCGCGGUAAUACGGAGGGUGCAAGCGUUAUCCGGAAUCAUUGGGUUUAAAGGGUCCGCAGGCGGUCAAUUAAGUCAGAGGUGAAAUCCUAUAGCUUAACUAUAGAACUGCCUUUGAUACUGGUUGACUUGAGUUAUACGGAAGUAGGUAGAAUGUGUAGUGUAGCGGUGAAAAUGCAUAGAUAUUACACAGAAUACCGAUUGCGAAGGCAGCCUACUACGUAUAUACUGACGCUCAUGGACGAAAGCGUGGGAGCGAACAGGAUUAGAUACCCUGGUAGACUGUCAU
Molecule: ribosomal RNA, 471 nt
Filed under: uncultured bacterium
Lineage: Bacteria
Description: bacterial SSU rRNA
Rfam family: Bacterial small subunit ribosomal RNA
Source: RNAcentral